Molecule: non-coding RNA, 1596 nt
Organism: Heterocephalus glaber (naked mole-rat)
Lineage: Eukaryota; Metazoa; Chordata; Mammalia; Rodentia; Bathyergidae
Source: RefSeq, a predicted model, not a curated record
GCCCGACCCACCUGCGACCCAGCAGCCGACGAGCGCAAACCUGGUGAACGCACCUGAGGCGCGCCCGGCCCGUGCCAGUGAGAGUUUUCUCCCGGAUGACAACUGAAGAAAACUAUCCAGGAGGCAGAAAAACUCAUCUAUGGCUAGGAGAUGAGGCAUACAAAAUAAAAAGCCAGGUAAGCAGAUGAACACUGGAGUGUUGGAAAAGAACACGCUCCCUCCUCAGAAACUUCCCCCAGCUGCCCUGCGCCUGCCAGGUCUGGGACCGCCCUGCUCACGCUGACCUCCACCCGCAGUGUUCUCCUUGCCCUCUGCGUCUGGAGCUCAGGACCCCAAAACAGCACCAAGGCUUCAAGACUGAGCUCAAACACCAUCUCUUCUGUUGUUCUUCAAGCCUUCUUUCACUCCUCUUCUCCUCUAAAGAGUGUCUUCUCUCAAUGCUGCAGUACUCCAAGAACAGGUUAAAGCCCUUGACUAUGUGACCUUCUCCAGUUUGAACUGCACUGCAUAUGGGGUCCCCCCUGAGGCUGUGGCAGUGCCACCUGUCCUCCUGCUGGCUCUGUGCACCCCUGGUGUUUUCACCGAGUACGUGAAGCCCUCAGAGCCUCAACGCUGUUCCCAAGCCGUGGAGGCUGAACUCUGCCAAGAGAACAGGAUGAGAAACUCUGCUCUUGCCCUCUGUUUAUUUUUUCAGACAUGUUCCUUAGAGUAGAAGGUUGACAAGGAAGUUUCUUUUACUCCCUUCCUCUAGACUGAAGGAAAAGAAAAAAACCAGGAAACCAACUCCAGAACACAAUGAAGAUGAAUAUCAAAUAUUUGUUCCUUUCCAUACAAGAGAAGUUAGGCACAAUGUUAGGUCAUCAUGGUAGCACUUGCAAGAAUCAAAGUUGCUUUGAGCCCUAAGGAUUUCCAGUAUAUCAGUUUGGCUGUUUCUUAUGGAAAUAAAGUAUUUUUUUAACUAUCUUUUGACCAAGAUAAUUAGAUAUUAUUCCAAACACCUGCAGUUGUCAUCCAGAGGCUGCUUGUGACAGUUGUGACUCAGAAACCUGGCUUGAUGCUGCUGACAAGUAAGCCCCUCCCUUGCAGCUUUGGACACCAAGACUUUGGACAGCCGAGAGGGGAGAUGCCAUUUACUAAGCACCUUCUGUGUAUCACAAUCAUGUUUUAUACGACCAGCAUUGCAACACCUCAAGUUAAACAUUAUCUCCAUUCUGUAGACAAGGAAAUAAGUCUGGAGAUGUUGAACAUUUGCCCCAAAGUACACAGCUAGAAAAGCAGAAAGCUGAGAUUCAAAAUCCCAUGUCUGAGUUUUUCAUAUUAGAGCAGCUUAUAUAUCUGGCUUAUUUCACUUAAAGCAUAAAAAGAUAGAUAAGUAGGAAGUAGGGAAAUCUUUUUUAAAUGGUUGGAGGAACAACCUCCUUAGGAGAGGGAAAGGAGAUGGGAAAAAAGUUGAAAAAAUAAAAAAUGAAAGUACAGCUUUUAAAUUGGCCAUGGGGGCCGGGGAUUUAGCUCAGUGGUUCUGUCACCUGCCUUGCAAGCACAAGGAUCCGUGUUUGAUCCCCAGUACCAAAGAAACAAAAAUAAACAAAAAAUAAA